Non-coding RNA from Hordeum vulgare subsp. vulgare (domesticated barley), 135 nucleotides. The record is from Rfam. Lineage: Eukaryota; Viridiplantae; Streptophyta; Magnoliopsida; Poales; Poaceae.
CAUAUACUCCCUCCAUCCCGAAAUUCUUGUCUUAGAUUUAAACAGAUAUAGAUGUAUCUAACACUAAAACACAACAAGAUACAUCCGUAUUUAAACAAAUCGAAGACAAGAAUUUUGGGACGGAGGGAGUACUUA